AACGAACGCUGGCGGCAUGCCUAACACAUGCAAGUCGAACGAUUGCCUUCGGGUGAUAGUGGCGCACGGGUGCGUAACGCGUGGGAAUCUGCCCUUAGGUUCGGAAUAACAGCUGGAAACGGCUGCUAAUACCGGAUGAUAUCUCGAGAUCAAAGAUUUAUCGCCUGAGGAUGAGCCCGCGUUGGAUUAGGUAGUUGGUGGGGUAAAGGCCUACCAAGCCGACGAUCCAUAGCUGGUCUGAGAGGAUGAUCAGCAACACUGGGACUGAGACACGGCCCAGACUCCUACGGGAGGCAGCAGUGGGGAAUAUUGGACAAUGGGCGCAAGCCUGAUCCAGCAAUGCCGCGUGAGUGAUGAAGGCCCUAGGGUUGUAAAGCUCUUUUACCCGGGAAGAUAAUGACUGUACCGGGAGAAUAAGCCCCGGCUAACUCCGUG
RNAcentral lists this ribosomal RNA (435 nucleotides) under uncultured bacterium. RNAcentral's name for it is "partial 16S ribosomal RNA". It matches the Rfam family "Bacterial small subunit ribosomal RNA", at positions 29 to 507 of the family's 1533-position model. The record is from RNAcentral.